Molecule: ribosomal RNA, 407 nt
Filed under: uncultured bacterium
Lineage: Bacteria
Description: bacterial SSU rRNA
Rfam family: Bacterial small subunit ribosomal RNA
Source: RNAcentral
GAUGAACGCUGGCGGCGUGCUUAACACAUGCAAGUCGAACGAAGCACUUUAAUCGAUUUCUUCGGAUUGAAAUUUUAGUGACUGAGUGGCGGACGGGUGAGUAACGCGUGGGUAACCUGCCUCACACAGGGGGAUAACAGUUGGAAACGGCUGCUAAUACCGCAUAAGCGCACAGUACCGCAUGGUACAGUGUGAAAAAACUCCGGUGGUGUGAGAUGGACCCGCGUCUGAUUAGCUAGUUGGCAGGGCAACGGCCUACCAAGGCGACGAUCAGUAGCCGGCCUGAGAGGGUGAACGGGCCACAUUGGGACUGAGACACGGCCCAAACGUCCUACGGGAGGCAGCAGUGGGGAAUAUUGCACAAUGGGGGAAACCCUGAUGCAGCGACGCCGCGUGAGUGAUGACGG